AGCGAACGCUGGCGGCAGGCCUAACACAUGCAAGUCGAGCGCCGUAGCAAUACGGAGCGGCAGACGGGUGAGUAACGCGUGGGAACGUGCCCUUUGGUUCGGAAUAACUCAGGGAAACUUGAGCUAAUACCGGAUACGUCCGAAAGGAGAAAGAUUUAUCGCCGAAGGAUCGGCCCGCGUAAGAUUAGCUAGUUGGUGAGGUAACGGCUCACCAAGGCUAUGAUCUUUAGCUGGUCUGAGAGGACGAUCAGCCACACUGGGACUGAGACACGGCCCAGACUCCUACGGGAGGCAGCAGUGGGGAAUAUUGGACAAUGGGCGCAAGCCUGAUCCAGCCAUGCCGCGUGAGUGAUGAAGGCCUUAGGGUUGUAAAGCUCUUUUGGCAGGGACGAUAAUGACUGUACCUGCAGAAUAAGCCCCGGCCAACUUCGUGCCAGCAGCCGCGGUAAUACGAAGGGGGCUAGCGUUGCUCGGAAUCACUGGGCGUAAAGCGCACGUAGGCGGGUCGUUAAGUCGGGGGUGAAAUCCUGGAGCUCAACUCCAGAACUGCCUUCGAUACUGGCGAUCUUGGAGUCCGGGAGAGGUGGGUGGAACUG
RNAcentral lists this ribosomal RNA (596 nucleotides) under uncultured Pseudomonadota bacterium. RNAcentral's name for it is "bacterial SSU rRNA". It matches the Rfam family "Bacterial small subunit ribosomal RNA", at positions 28 to 669 of the family's 1533-position model. The record is from RNAcentral. Lineage: Bacteria; Pseudomonadati; Pseudomonadota.